This 489-nucleotide ribosomal RNA is filed under the name uncultured bacterium. RNAcentral describes it as "bacterial SSU rRNA". It matches the Rfam family "Bacterial small subunit ribosomal RNA", at positions 1 to 526 of the family's 1533-position model. The record is from RNAcentral.
ACUAGCAGUAAGAGUUUGAUCCUGGCUCAGGACGAACGCUGGCGGCACGCCUAACACAUGCAAGUCGAACGGCCCCUUCGGGGGCAGUGGCGGACGGGUGAGUAACGCGUGGGAACCUGCCCCUUGGUUCGGGACAACCCGGGGAAACCCGGGCUAAUACCGGAUGCGCUCCUUAGGGAGGAAAGAUUUAUCGCCGAGGGAUGGGCCCGCGUCCGAUUAGCUAGUUGGUGGGGUAAUGGCCCACCAAGGCAACGAUCGGUAGCCGGCCUGAGAGGGUGACCGGCCACACUGGGACUGAGACACGGCCCAGACUCCUACGGGAGGCAGCAGUGGGGAAUAUUGCGCAAUGGGCGAAAGCCUGACGCAGCGACGCCGCGUGGGGGAUGACGGCCUUCGGGUUGUAAACCUCGUUCAGUAGGGACGAAGCGCAAGUGACGGUACCUACAGAAGAAGGACCGGCCAACUACGUGCCAGCCGCCGCGGUAAUUC